AGCAGCCGCGGUAAUUCCAGCUCCAAUAGCGUAUAUUAAAGUUGUUGCAGUUAAAAAGCUCGUAGUUGAAUUUCGGGAUUGACACAUCGGUCGUGCCUUAAGGGGUAUGAACUGGUGUAGUCAAUUUCUCACCUUCUGGAGAACCGCGAUGCCCUUAAUUGGGUGUCACGGGGAACCAGGACCUUUACUUUGAAAAAAUUAGAGUGUUUAAAGCAGGCAUUUUGCUUGAAUACAUUAGCAUGGAAUAAUAAAAUAGGACGGCAUGAUUCUAUUUUGUUGGUUUCUAGGAUCACCGUAAUGAUUAAUAGGGAUAGUUGGGGGCAUUAGUAUUCAAUUGUCAGAGGUGAAAUUCUUGGAUUUAU
Molecule: small RNA, 362 nt
Filed under: uncultured Entrophospora
Lineage: Eukaryota; Fungi; Glomeromycota; Glomeromycetes; Entrophosporales; Entrophosporaceae
Description: SSU rRNA
Rfam family: Eukaryotic small subunit ribosomal RNA
Source: RNAcentral